AAAACAUAUGUAGGGAUAGUUGCAUUAUAUAAACAAUGGGAAAGUGCUAGAAAACUUUAUUAUCAAUAUAUGUUUCUUAUUCUAUAAAUAAAAUGAAAUUCAAGGCAAUCGAUCAGCUGAUAGUUUGCAGCAAAUUCUAAAGCAUAUUAAUUAAAUUUGUUAGAUCAUAUUAAAAAAAACAAAAAUACUACUACAACCUCAUAUCCAUAGCAUCAUGCAACCCCAACCUUACAGGAGAAAGUAUCCACAAUUAUACAAAUUUUUUAAGAAUCUAAAGAGAAUAUUUUUUAUACCAGAAAAUUAACCCAUGGGCCAUUCAAAUCUUUCAAAUAUAGAAAAAGCAGUUUGUAUCAAGAUUAUCAAAAAAUUGAAAAACAGUAAUUUCCAUUGCCAAAAUAU
Molecule: long non-coding RNA, 399 nt
Organism: Gordionus sp. m RMFG-2023
Lineage: Eukaryota; Metazoa; Nematomorpha; Gordioida; Chordodea; Parachordodidae
Exons: 3
Source: RefSeq, a predicted model, not a curated record